Taeniopygia guttata (zebra finch) is the source of this 924-nucleotide non-coding RNA. Lineage: Eukaryota; Metazoa; Chordata; Aves; Passeriformes; Estrildidae. The record is from RefSeq and is a predicted model, not a curated record.
CUUUCUUCCCGCCCGUCCGAGAGGGACUGGGCUGGAGAAGCCUCUCCUGACAUCCCUGCGAAUAUUGCUGCAGAACGGAGUCCGCACGACCUCCGCAGCUCCCACAGCGUGGCAAUAGAACACAGUCUGGCAUCACCUUAGCUCUGUUUCUUGAUUCCCCUGUUGCUACUGAAAAGAUGGAGAAGAAAACAGGAGAGGAAGUGGGCCAUCAUGGCAAGGGGUUCUGCGUCUCUGUCCUGGUCAAUGUCCCCGGUGUAGGAUGGGCUGCCCGAUAAGCUCUGCUCCCGAUGCUCAGCUCGGGAGAUGCGCUGGGAGAGCUCUGAAACAUUUUGACAACAGGCGUUUAAGCACCCAGACUGCGAGGUUUUAAUGAGGAUGCUGGUGUCCCAGCUAGGCGGAUUGGUGUUCCGGCAGCAUUGGAAUCGGCGCCAGCAGCACUGUCCAUCUGUCCGUCCAUUCGUCUGCAAGGCACUGCACAGAGGGGAGACGCGGUGGGAGUGGGACAAGAAUUGCAAUAUGUGCACAGGGCAAAAAAGAGCGAAAACCGUUGUUUUGGUGUCAAAACAGUCAUCGCAUUUUGAGGUGGUACCAGAACAGAAGGACAACAUCCUUCCCAGAAGGAUAAACGUACAAAGGCCACCACCAUGUCUUCUUUCCUAGAACCCCAUCCAUUCUGUCGUGGCUUUUAAUCUUUAUUUUUCCACUGCCUGUAGUGAAAGCGACCCUCAGAUAAUCUGAUCGGACCUUUGGCUGAGAUGCCUAUGCUAAGAGAAAUAACUCGAAAUUGUUAUCCUAUUGAAGGGCAGUGAAGUUUGCACUCGGGUUUUGCUAUGUGAUAGAUGUAGCCCAGUUUUGUGUAUUUCCCUCCGUGUGCAUCGCUGGUGCCAUCAGCACAGGCAGCACGGCAGGUAAAACACGCGAGGG